UGACCUCGGAUCAGGUAGGGAUACCCGCUGAACUUAAGCAUAUCAAUAAGCGGAGGAAAAGAAACCAACCGGGAUUGCCCUAGUAACGGCGAGUGAAGCGGCAAGAGCUCAAAUUUGAAAGCUGGCUCCUUCGGGGUCCGCAUUGUAAUUUGCAGAGGAUGCUUCGGGAGCGGUCCCCAUCUAAGUGCCCUGGAACGGGCCGUCAUAGAGGGUGAGAAUCCCGUCUGGGAUGGGGUGCCCGCGCCCGUGUGAAGCUCCUUCGACGAGUCGAGUUGUUUGGGAAUGCAGCUCUAAUUGGGUGGUAAAUUUCAUCUAAAGCUAAAUAUUGGCCGGAGACCGAUAGCGCACAAGUAGAGUGAUCGAAAGAUGAAAAGCACUUUGAAAAGAGAGUUAAACAGCACGUGAAAUUGUUGAAAGGGAAGCGCUUGCGAUCAGACUCGCCCGCGGGGUUCAGCCGGCAUUCGUGCCGGUGUACUUCCCCGUGGGCGGGCCAGCGUCGGUUUGGGCGGCCGGUCAAAGGCCCCUGGAAUGUAACGCCUCUCGGGGCGUCUUAUAGCCAGGGGUGCCAUGCGGCCUGCCCGGACCGAGGAACGCGCUUCGGCUCGGACGCUGGCAUAAUGGUCGUAAGCGACC
Molecule: ribosomal RNA, 633 nt
Filed under: Penicillium sp. NRRL 28146
Lineage: Eukaryota; Fungi; Ascomycota; Eurotiomycetes; Eurotiales; Aspergillaceae
Description: eukaryotic LSU rRNA
Rfam family: Eukaryotic large subunit ribosomal RNA
Source: RNAcentral